Molecule: ribosomal RNA, 347 nt
Filed under: uncultured bacterium
Lineage: Bacteria
Description: partial 16S ribosomal RNA
Rfam family: Bacterial small subunit ribosomal RNA
Source: RNAcentral
CCUACGGGGUGCUGCAGUGAGGAAUAGUGGUCAAUGGGCGCGAGCCUGAACCAGCCAAGUAGCGUGAAGGAUGACUGCCCUACGGGUUGUAAACUUCUUUUAUAAAGGAAUAAAGGGAGGCACGUGGGCCUGUUUGUAUGUACUUUAUGAAUAAGGAGCGGCUAACUCCGUGCCAGCAGCCGCGGUAAUACGGAGGAUCCGAGCGUUAUCCGGAUUUAUGGGGUUUAAAGGGAGCGUAGAUGGGUUGUUAAGUCAGUUGGGAAAGUUUGCGGCUCAACCGUAAAAUUGCAAUUGAUACUGGCCGCCUUGACUACAGUUGAGGUAGGCGGAAUUCGUGGUGUCGCGGU